This is a long non-coding RNA of Monodelphis domestica (gray short-tailed opossum), 1904 nucleotides long. The record is from Ensembl. Lineage: Eukaryota; Metazoa; Chordata; Mammalia; Didelphimorphia; Didelphidae.
GGCUAGGCAAUGGGGGUCAAGUGACUUGCUCAGGCUUAGACAGCUGGCAAGUGUCUGAGACCAGAUUUGAACCCAGGAACUCCCUUCUCCAGGUCUGGCUCUCAAUCCACUGAGCAAUCCAGCUGCCUACCUUGAGGCUACUUCUUCAAGGAUGGUGCCUCUCAACUCUGGUCCUAAGACAGGCAGGAAGAAGCAGCCUUUUGUCCUGAAUGUGCAGAAACGGAAAGGAUGGAACAUCUUACUCCCCAAAGGGGAUCUUUGGCCCCUUACUGUCAUUUUGACUUGGAUGACUUGGAUGAAGGUGGAGACGGCAUGCUUGUAAUGUGGGAGAAGGGGACCCCAAACUCUAUAUCCAAGACGACUUCUUUUCCACCUAAUACCAGUGUCACAAUGAACACAUAUAGAGAAAAGCAAAGAAGGCCAACUAUCCAAAUGAUAGCAAAACAGGAAUCAGAGAAGGGUAAGAAAAGAAAUUGUUCCUCCGACUGGCUGUCACCUGAGAGAGAUUUAUCCCUGCCCCCCCAAAGACCUGCCCAGAAGCAGAAGUCUGCCAGUUAGACCAUCUAAUAUUAAAUCACAAUACUCUGCAUGCAUGUGGGGCCCAUGAAAAUUGGACGUUGGUCUAAGCUUCUGAAGUUGGAAGCAAAUGUUUGAACACUUGGAUGAAAUUUCCAGACUUGGCAUUUUGUGGAAAGAGAGUCUUCCAGAUUCCAGUGCAGAAUUGCAUGAAUGUGGACAUACUGAGGUUAAGGUUUGGCCUUUUGAUGCCUACCAGGAAUUGGUUCAAAAAACUCACUUCCAGAAGAUGUCCUAGAUUAAUAGCGAUGUAACCUGAUUUUCUACAUUGUCCAUAGUUAUAGGAUUAAGAUUAAACUCCUAAUGAUUCCCCAGAGGUGCCAUAAUAUCCACAACCACCAUAGAAAGAGCCAUUUUCUAACUCAGGGCUAUGUUGGAGCCAGUUUGAACCAGCUCUUAAGAGAGUCAUUUGUUAAAUUUUCAGCAUGAGCAUUUAUGGCUCUGGAAGUCAGCAAGCAUUACAAAUCAUGACUUGAAUGUUUUGCUGAUUGUCUAGAUUUAAGGAAAUGAUGAAGAGAAUGUUUAAAAUGUUAAUUAAAUUUUAAAAGGUGUUGUGAACAAUAUUUUUUUUAGGAGAGCUGGUUAUUAAACAUUUACCAGCACACUCCUGGUUAGCUUCUUUAUUUUACUCUCCUUAUUAAGACACGGAAGUUUCAGCAAGAGUUGAAGCAAAAGGAAUUUUCUUCCAAAUCCUCACUUAACUAGAAAAUUUGAUUAUCUAGGACUCUACAUUUUUCACGUGAAAAACAAACAAACAUCUGAAGGGUUCUAGUGUACAUCAAACCCUGUAGGAGUUGGCAUUGUGACAUAGUAGCCAGAAAAGUCAGUGUAAUAAUAGGCAGUUUUAUGAGAGGUAUAGUUUCCAGAGUUAUAGAAUAUUAUUGUGCUCUCUUCUCGUUGUAUCAUAUUUGGAGUAUUGUGUUCAGCACUAGCUGCUGCAUUUCUAGACUUUGGCAAGCAUUGCUAAGAGGGUAAGGGGACUGGAGUCCAUGAGAUGGAGUAUAGAAAUUGGGGAUGCUUAGUCCUAGAGAAGAAAAUACAUGAGAGGGGGGGAUAUCCUAAUUGUCUUAUACUAUAAUGACCUUCCAGUAUAUUUCUAGCAUAUUCAUACUUACAUUACAAUUUGGCCACUUCCCAAUAGGAAGAUACACUUCUUAUUUUCUUGGUUUUGGCCACCCCAAAAAGAGCUACUUCAAAUAUUUCUAUACAUAUGGGUCCUUUUCCUCUUUCUUUGAUCAGUUUGAAGAACAGGCAGGGAUAUACAGGUAAAUGCUUAACAACUGGCUCUCUGAAAUAAAAAAAAAUUAUUCCCAAGUCUUUUUAAUUUA